Molecule: unclassified non-coding RNA, 253 nt
Filed under: uncultured Sphingomonadaceae bacterium
Lineage: Bacteria; Pseudomonadati; Pseudomonadota; Alphaproteobacteria; Sphingomonadales; Sphingomonadaceae
Description: contains 16S-23S intergenic spacer region
Rfam family: Bacterial small subunit ribosomal RNA
Source: RNAcentral
UACGGAGGGAGCUAGCGUUGUUCGGAAUUACUGGGCGUAAAGCGCGCGUAGGCGGCUAUUCAAGUCAGGGGUGAAAGCCCGGAGCUCAACUCCGGAACUGCCUUUGAAACUAGAUAGCUAGAAUCUUGGAGAGGUCAGUGGAAUUCCGAGUGUAGAGGUGAAAUUCGUAGAUAUUCGGAAGAACACCAGUGGCGAAGGCGACUGACUGGACAAGUAUUGACGCUGAGGUGCGAAAGCGUGGGGAGCGAACAGG